UACAGAGGGGGCUAGCGUUAAUCGGAAUUACUGGGCGUAAAGCGUGCGCAGGCGGUGAUGUAAGACAGAUGUGAAAUCCCCGGGCUUAACCUGGGAAUGGCAUUUGUGACUGGAAGGCUAGAGUGUGUCAGAGGGGGGUAGAAUUCCACGUGUAGCAGUGAAAUGCGUAGAGAUGUGGAGGAAUACCGAUGGCGAAGGCAGCCCCCUGGGAUAACACUGACGCUCAUGCACGAAAGCGUGGGGAGCAAACAGG
This 253-nucleotide ribosomal RNA is filed under the name uncultured bacterium. RNAcentral describes it as "partial 16S ribosomal RNA". It matches the Rfam family "Bacterial small subunit ribosomal RNA", at positions 524 to 776 of the family's 1533-position model. The record is from RNAcentral.